AUACGUAGGGGGCGAGCGUUGUCCGGAAUUAUUGGGCGUAAAGCGCGCGCAGGCGGUCCUUUAAGUCUGAUGUGAAAGCCCACGGCUCAACCGUGGAGGGUCAUUGGAAACUGGGGGACUUGAGUGCAGGAGAGGAGAGCGGAAUUCCACGUGUAGCGGUGAAAUGCGUAGAGAUGUGGAGGAACACCAGUGGCGAAGGCGGCUCUCUGGCCUGUAACUGACGCUGAGGCGCGAAAGCGUGGGGAGCAAACAGGAUUAGAUACCCUGGUAGUCCACGCCGUAAACGAUGAGUGCUAAGUGUUAGAGGGGUCACACCCUUUAGUGCUGUAGCUAACGCGAUAAGCACUCCGCCUGGGGGGUACGGCCGCAAGGCUGAA
Molecule: ribosomal RNA, 377 nt
Filed under: uncultured bacterium
Lineage: Bacteria
Description: bacterial SSU rRNA
Rfam family: Bacterial small subunit ribosomal RNA
Source: RNAcentral